GAUUUUCUAAGGUGUGCGUAUUUUUCCACAAUGUGUUGACCGAUCAAGUAAUUUAAAUACGGGAACGACAAUUUUAACUCAUCAAAGCCAGCCUUUUCACGAGGACGCUAGCAUGGGUAAAUAGCCGAACCCACCUGCUAAUUUGCGGGUUCAAUACAAACGGAAUUGCAACGGCACCACCAGAUUAUCU
The sequence is a non-coding RNA, 190 nucleotides long. It matches the Rfam family "6S / SsrS RNA". From Rfam's summary of the family: E. coli 6S RNA was the first non coding RNA to be sequenced, but its function was unknown until recently. It consists of 184 nucleotides that fold into an extended hairpin structure with a large single-stranded internal bulge. The 6S RNA specifically associates with RNA polymerase holoenzyme containing the sigma70 specificity factor. The record is from Rfam.